RNAcentral lists this long non-coding RNA (609 nucleotides) under Pectinophora gossypiella (pink bollworm). RNAcentral's name for it is "uncharacterized LOC126377636". Lineage: Eukaryota; Metazoa; Arthropoda; Insecta; Lepidoptera; Gelechiidae. The record is from RNAcentral.
CACCGCCCUCUGUAUGCUGCCGCCCAUCGUCUUCUUCACGAUGUCAGAUCACCUCGUAGGCGCCCUUCCUCGCGCACGUUUGCCAUCUAUUUGCCCAAAGAUGAUCUGCUUCUCCAGACUGUGCUUCGGAGACCGCAUAAUAUGUCCGAAGAAGCUUAGGGCACGAUUCCGGCAUAUUGAGGAGAGCCGCGUCGUGAUCUUGAGCUCUUUUAAUAUGGACUCAUUCGUACACGUAAAAAGCCUUAAAUUACCAAGUAGAGAAAGUCCGGCAUGAGGUGAGCACGAAGUUUUGAAGACAGGAGUGAUUGUAUUAGAUUUCCUCCUGAGCAGUUGCACUACAAAUUUAGUGAUGAAGAGGCAAUACUUGACAGAAACCUUAAGUGGGAUGACAUAAUUAUAAAGAAAAUCAAUAAGAGGAUGAACUCUUUUAAUGUUUAUAAAACAAUAGUAUGGAAGAAUUUUGAUGCAUCUUGGAGCAAUGGCAACAUAUUUGGGAGUUGUGAGUGACAACGAGCAGAUUACAUAACAAUGGGAGGAUAACAAGGGCCUUAACUGAAAAAACUGGUGAAUGUUCCCAAAUAAACCUCACAGAUGUAGAAGAAACACAAA